This 501-nucleotide ribosomal RNA is filed under the name uncultured bacterium. RNAcentral describes it as "partial 16S ribosomal RNA". It matches the Rfam family "Bacterial small subunit ribosomal RNA", at positions 29 to 523 of the family's 1533-position model. The record is from RNAcentral.
AUUGAACGCUGGCGGCAUGCCUUACACAUGCAAGUCGAACGGCAGCACGGGUGCUUGCACCUGGUGGCGAGUGGCGAACGGGUGAGUAAUACAUCGGAACGUACCUUAUCGUGGGGGAUAACGCAGCGAAAGCUGUGCUAAUACCGCAUACGCCCUGAGGGGGAAAGCGGGGGAUCGCAAGACCUCGCGCGAUUAGAGCGGCCGAUGCCUGAUUAGCUUGUUGGUGGGGUAAAAGCCCACCAAGGCGACGAUCAGUAGCUGGUCUGAGAGGACGAUCAGCCACACUGGGACUGAGACACGGCACAGACUCCUACGGGAGGCAGCAGUGGGGAAUUGUGGACAAUGGGGGCAACCCUGAUCCAGCAAUGCCGCGUGAGUGAAGAAGGCCUUCGGGUUGUAAAGCUCUUUUGUCAGGGAAGAAACACCGGCUCUAACACAGUCCGGGAAUGACGGUACCUGAAGAAUAAGCACCGGCUAACUACGUGCCAGCCGCCGCGGUAA